GACGUAUCCAGAGUGCAGCGAGAGAUCUAGCUCGACGACCUGCCGGCAACCAGCUCUAUGCCAGGUGCCCCUUCUAGCCAAACAAUAAUAGUUUGGAAAGAUAAGAC
Molecule: non-coding RNA, 107 nt
Filed under: Candidatus Saccharimonadota
Lineage: Bacteria
Also listed under: 1 other name
Description: Candidatus Saccharibacteria SAM-I sequence
Rfam family: SAM riboswitch aptamer (S box leader)
About the family: The SAM riboswitch is found upstream of a number of genes which code for proteins involved in methionine or cysteine biosynthesis in Gram-positive bacteria. The SAM riboswitch acts at the level of transcription termination control.
Source: RNAcentral